Gossypium hirsutum (cotton) is the source of this 106-nucleotide non-coding RNA. Lineage: Eukaryota; Viridiplantae; Streptophyta; Magnoliopsida; Malvales; Malvaceae. The record is from Rfam.
AUCCUAUGAUGGGGACAUUUUCUUAAUAGCGAUUUAAAUUGCUCCUUAGCCUCGUGUAAGUUUUCACCCUCAAUCUGCUAAAAAUUUGGGAUAUCGUGCCUUAGCU